GACGAACGCUGGCGGCGUGCUUAACACAUGCAAGUCGAACGGAGCACCCUUGAAAGAGACUUCGGUUGAUUGAUAGGAAUGCUUAGUGGCGGACUGGUGCGUAACACGUGAGUAACCUGCCCCGGAGAGUGGAAUAACACAGCGAAAGUUGUGCUAAUACCGCAUAACAUGGUUGUACCGCAUGGUGCUGACCAUCAAAGAUUUAUCGCUUUGGGAUGGACUCGCGUCCGAUUAGCUAGUUGGUGAGGUAACGGCUCACCAAGGCGACGAUCGGUAGCCGGACUGAGAGGUUGACCGGCCACAUUGGGACUGAGAUACGGCCCAGACUCCUACGGGAGGCAGCAGUGGGGAAUAUUGGGCAAUGGGCGCAAGCCUGACCCAGCAACGCCGCGUGAAGGAAGAAGGUCUUCGGAUUGUAAACUUUAAUCGUCGGGGACGAGAACGGACGGUACCCGAGGUGAAGCCACGUCUAACUACGUG
RNAcentral lists this ribosomal RNA (480 nucleotides) under uncultured bacterium. RNAcentral describes it as "bacterial SSU rRNA". It matches the Rfam family "Bacterial small subunit ribosomal RNA", at positions 28 to 507 of the family's 1533-position model. The record is from RNAcentral.